RNAcentral lists this ribosomal RNA (251 nucleotides) under uncultured bacterium. RNAcentral describes it as "partial 16S ribosomal RNA". It matches the Rfam family "Bacterial small subunit ribosomal RNA", at positions 84 to 334 of the family's 1533-position model. The record is from RNAcentral.
UGGGUGGAUGAGUGGCGAACGGGUGAGUAACACGUGAGUAACCUGCCCCCUUCUUUGGGAUAACGCCGGAAACGGGUGCUAAUACUGGAUAUUCACUGGCCUUCGCAUGGGGGUUGGUGGAAAGGUUUUUUCUGGUGGGGGAUGGGCUCGCGGCCUAUCAGCUUGUUGGUGGGGUGAUGGCCUACCAAGGCUUUGACGGGUAGCCGGCCUGAGAGGGUGACCGGUCACAUUGGGACUGAGAUACGGCCCAG